Molecule: ribosomal RNA, 253 nt
Filed under: uncultured bacterium
Lineage: Bacteria
Description: partial 16S ribosomal RNA
Rfam family: Bacterial small subunit ribosomal RNA
Source: RNAcentral
GACAGAGGUGGCGAGCGUUGUUCGGAAUCACUGGGCUUAAAGGGCGCGUAGGUGGUAGUGCAAGUCUGGGGUGGAAUCCCAGGGCUUAACCCUGGAACUGCCUUGGAAACUGCAUUACUUGAGUCAGUGAGGGGAGGGUAGAAUUCCUGGUGUAGCGGUGAAAUGCGUAGAUAUCAGGAGGAAGGCCUGUGGCGAAGGCGGCCCUCUGGCGCUGAACUGACACUGAGGCGCGAAAGCGUGGGUAGCAAACAGG